CCGGCUGACUUUGUCUAGGCUUGGAAGAUAGGAAGCUAAGUAGGGUUAGACUUGGUUGGUACAUGGAUGGGAGACCUCCAGGGGAUACCGGGGUUAUCCGUU
RNAcentral lists this ribosomal RNA (102 nucleotides) under Notechis scutatus (mainland tiger snake). The record is from RNAcentral. Lineage: Eukaryota; Metazoa; Chordata; Lepidosauria; Squamata; Elapidae.